CUCUCUCUCGUGCCAAAACCCUAGCCGUAGUCUCAUCACUUUGUCGCUCCGUCGUCGACUUCUACAACCCAAGGUUAGUUUUUCUCUAUGUCACAUACACACUCUCCCUCUCUCUCUCCUUCUCUCUCUCUCUCUCUCUCUCUAAAAAAAUACUGAUAAGCUGUCUAUUGCCACAGUUUAAAUAUAUGAUGGUGGUGUGCAAAAUACAGCAUCAAG
This is a long non-coding RNA of Juglans microcarpa x Juglans regia, 216 nucleotides long. RefSeq lists it as uncharacterized. The transcript is spliced from 2 exons. The record is from RefSeq and is a predicted model, not a curated record. Lineage: Eukaryota; Viridiplantae; Streptophyta; Magnoliopsida; Fagales; Juglandaceae.